Oncorhynchus keta (chum salmon) is the source of this 984-nucleotide long non-coding RNA. RefSeq lists it as uncharacterized. NCBI's taxonomy places the organism in Eukaryota, Metazoa, Chordata, Actinopteri, Salmoniformes, Salmonidae. The transcript is spliced from 4 exons. The record is from RefSeq and is a predicted model, not a curated record.
AACACUGGAGAACAACGUACAGACAGCAGGCACGUGGAUAACACUGGAGAACAACGUACAGACAGCAGGCAGGUGGAUAACACUGGAGAACAACGUACAGACAGCAGGCAGGUGGAUAACACUGGAGAACAACGUACAGACAGCAGGCAGGUGGAUAACACUGGAGAACAACGUACAGACAGCAGGCAGGUGGAUAACACUGGAGAACAACGUACAGACAGCAGGCAGGUGGAUAACACUGGAGAACAACGUACAGACAGCAGGUAGGUGGAGAACACUGGAGAACAACGUACAGACAGCAGGCAGGUGGAGAACACUGGAGAACAACGUACAGACAGCAGGCAGGUGGAUAACACUGGAGAACAACGUACAGACAGCAGGCAGGUGGAGAACACUGGAGAACAACGUACAGACAGCAGGCAGGUGGAGAACACUGGAGAACAACGUACAGACAGCAGGCAGGUGGAGAACACUGGAGAACAACGUACAGACAGCAGGCAGGUGGAUAACACUGGAGAACAACGUACAGACAGCAGGCAGGUGGAGAACACUGGAGAACAACGUACAGACAGCAGGCAGGUGGAGAACACUGGAGAACAACGUACAGACAGCAGGCAGGUGGAGAACACUGGAGAACAACGUACAGACAGCAGGCAGGUGGAGAACACUGGACACCUGUUCGCCAGGGGGAAAGAUAACACCAGACACAUAUUACUGUAUUUGACUGGUUCAUGUGUCAUUUCAUUUACAGGAGAAGCCAGAGGAUUGUCAACAAACCAUCAGUUUGUGAAAAACAACAACAAUCUACUCCUUAUAUUCACUUGUCCUUUGGUCUUUAAGCUUAACUUAACCCUUCAGCUUAUCUACAUCUAUCUAUCUUAUUUAUCUUAUCUCUAAGGUGGGAAUCAACAUGGUAGAAGCUCCACCCAGACACUUCAGUUCUGGGGACGUGGAAGGGCUCGGGUCGAGGGGACAGGUUAGGGC